ACGAUACGUAGCCGACCUGAGAGGGUGAUCGGCCACACUGGAACUGAGACACGGUCCAGACUCCUACGGGAGGCAGCAGUAGGGAAUCUUCCGCAAUGGGCGAAAGCCUGACGGAGCAACGCCGCGUGAGUGAUGAAGGGUUUCGGCUCGUAAAACUCUGUUAUUAGGGAAGAACAAAYGUGUAAGUAACUGUGCACGUCUUGACGGUACCUAAUCAGAAAGCCACGGCUAACUACGUGCCAGCAGCCGCGGUAAUACGUAGGUGGCAAGCGUUAUCCGGAAUUAUUGGGCGUAAAGCGCGCGUAGGCGGUUUCUUAAGUCUGAUGUGAAAGCCCACGGCUCAACCGUGGAGGGUCAUUGGAAACUGGGAAACUUGAGUGCAGAAGAGGAAAGUGGAAUUCCAUGUGUAGCGGUGAAAUGCGCAGAGAUAUGGAGGAACACCAGUGGCGAAGGCGACUUUCUGGUCUGUAACUGACGCUGAUGUGCGAAAGCGUGGGGAUCAAACAGGAUUAGAUACCCUGGUAGUCCACGCCGUAAACGAUGAGUGCUAAGUGUUAGGGGGUUUCCGCCCCUUAGUGCUGCAGCUAACGCAUUAAGCACUCCGCCUGGGGAGUACGACCGCAAGGUUGAACUCAAAGGAAUUGACGGGGACCCGCACAAGCGGUGGAGCAUGUGGUUUAAUUCGAAGCAACGCGAAGAACCUUACCAAAUCUUGACAUCCUUUGGAAAACUCUAGAGAUAGAGCCUUUCCCUUCGGGGGACAAAGUGACAGGUGGUGCAUGGUUGUCGUCAGCUCGUGUCGUGAGAUGUUGGGUUAAGUCCCGCAACGAGCGCAACCCUUAAGCUUAGUUGCCAUCAUUAAGUUGGGCACUCUAGGUUGACUGCCGGUGACAAACCGGAGGAAGGUGGGGAUGACGUCAAAUCAUCAUUCCC
This 933-nucleotide ribosomal RNA is filed under the name Staphylococcus sp. RNAcentral's name for it is "bacterial SSU rRNA". It matches the Rfam family "Bacterial small subunit ribosomal RNA", at positions 276 to 1200 of the family's 1533-position model. The record is from RNAcentral. Lineage: Bacteria; Bacillati; Bacillota; Bacilli; Caryophanales; Staphylococcaceae.